Molecule: ribosomal RNA, 391 nt
Filed under: uncultured bacterium
Lineage: Bacteria
Description: partial 16S ribosomal RNA
Rfam family: Bacterial small subunit ribosomal RNA
Source: RNAcentral
AUACGGAGGAUCCGAGCGUUAUCCGGAUUUAUUGGGUUUAAAGGGUGCGCAGGCGGCCAUUUAAGUCAGCGGUUAAAUCGUGGGGCUCAACCCCAUUCUGCCGUUGAUACUGGGUGGCUUGAUUGCGGUCGAGGUUGGCGGAAUUCGUUGUGUAGCGGUGAAAUGCAUAGAUAUGACGAAGAACACCGAUUGCGUAGGCAGCUGACCAGACCGCAAAUGACGCUCAUGCGCGAAAGUGCGGGGAUCGAACAGGAUUAGAUACCCUGGUAGUCCGCACAGUAAACGAUGAAUACUUGUUUUCGGCGAUAUAAUGUCGGAGGCAAAGCGAAAGCGAUAAGUAUUCCACCUGGGGAGUACGCCGGCAACGGUGAAACUCAAAGGAAUUGGCGGG